Long non-coding RNA from Sciurus carolinensis (gray squirrel), 2285 nucleotides. RefSeq lists it as uncharacterized. The record is from RefSeq and is a predicted model, not a curated record. NCBI's taxonomy places the organism in Eukaryota, Metazoa, Chordata, Mammalia, Rodentia, Sciuridae. The transcript is spliced from 5 exons.
GCGGGGCGCGCAGCCUUCCUGAUGUGUCACCAGCACGUGGAGCCAGGUCGGGAAGAGCGAGUCAGCGGAACCCCCCCAACUUUCGAGGGGUCUCGCUGCCCCUCUUCUUUCCCCGCUGCUCGGGGCGCAACCCCCUUGGGGAGGGGGCGGCGACGGCUCCCAGGUCCGGGACAGGUCGAGCGAGGCCAUGGCCCCCCACCAGGCUGGAACGUCGGGGCGCGGCUACACCCUGGUGCCCCGCAGCGGCACGGGCUCGGCCGUGCGGGAGGGUGCGGCGUGGGGCCUGCGGCAGAGGCGCCCGCGGCAGCAGCGCCCGCGGCUCGGCCCGCACCCCGCCGAGCUGAGCGCAGCCCAGGUUGGGCUGGUGACUUUCCCACAGAUGGGGAGGUUUGCAGAGCAGCAAGCAGCAUGUGUCCUGUGUCUUGAGGACCUCAAGGGUCAGCAGAGGAAGUUCAUCCUCAGUAUUCCUAAGGUCCCAGGAGUCAUCACCUGAGAAAGAUGAAAGCACUCAUCACCCGAGAAGAUGGUCUCCAGUGCUGGGCAUUUGUGGGAAUUUGACCGCCCUGACUUCACCUCCUGCCAGCCUAGUCCUUGCUCUGUGGCUCUAGCCCCUCCGCCACGGCUGUGCUUCCAUGCCAGCUCUGCCAGCAAUGACUUUAAGGGCUGGAGCCACAGCCACCUCCUACUCGGAAAUUAACGCUCCAAGGAACACACUUGAGUGGAAGACACUGGUGCCUGGCGUGGGGAAGACGCUCUGUAGGUGGCAGUGGCAUUGCACUGCUUGGGAGGUGAAGUCUGAGCCUCCACAUGGCGAUUGGUGCCUUCUGACCUCGGUGCUACAACAAUGACCUUUCUGGACAGUCUGCUCUGGCCUUCUGAACUCUGUUGGGAUAGUGGUUCUGGAUUGGAGAGCUGCAGUUCUGGCCUCUUCGCCUUCCUCCUUCACCAGCUGCUUGGGGCAUAGAUGGCCCAGAAUCCAUGGGCUGGAAGUGCCUCCUGCUGGACUUGACUCGUGGGGAAGGAAUUGGACACAAGAGUUAAAACAGAAGGUGAGCCCACAGGAAAUGGCCCUGGGCUGGCGUGAGGGUCCAUCCCUGGUGGCCUGGUCAUUGCAGGUUUGUCAGGAUGUAGGAAUGGCAUGACACCACCACCCCUGGGUCUUUGAAAGAGAUCCAUUAGUUUUCCAUGGCCUUUUUUCUGAUAAUACUUCUUUUAUCUUCGGGGAUCACCUUCCCCCUACCCUGGAUUCCUGGGUUUGGGUGUGUCCGCUCUCACCUGCUGGCUUUAGAGGCAUACAUGUGAUCCAGGUCUGGACCCAGACUCCCCCGCAGCUCUUCUGAAGCAAAUCUGGGGGAAAGAGCCUUUCUCUUCCUGUGGCAGUUGCUAAGUCCAUGGGAGGAAGCCUGAAACUGCUGGUGACCAAGCUCUUAUCCACUUGACAACGAAGCCAACAACGAGGAGAGAGAACUAAGAUGGAGAGACACUCAGUGCAACCAAAGCCAACUGCAUCCCUGCGCUAUGCAGAUUGAAUGAGACAGUGCAUAUCUUUUUUGCUAAAACUAGCCUGAGUUGGGGUUUGUCACAGAAAUGUUCCCAAUGCAGGCAGGGUUUUUGUUUUUGAUUUGUUUUUUAUAUCGACGUUUUGAGGUAUAUUUCCACACAGUGAAAUCCACCCAUUUUAAGUGAACAUAAGUUUUGUCAAGUGUGUAUGCCUGUGUAGCUGCCACCCCAUCAGAUGGACAGUGUUUCUUCCUCCAAAAUGUUCCCUUGUUGCCCUCCAACCUCAGAUGACCACUGAGCUGCCUUCCUGGAGCUUCCUUUUGCCUUUGUAGAAUCUCAUCCAAUCCCUAAUGUAGUCCCGGCUCUGAUUUCUCUUACUCAGCAUGUUUUUCAGGUUCAUCACUGUUGCGCGCAGUAAUGAUCCAAUCCUUUCUAUUGCUGGGUAGCCUGAUGUAUAGAUGUGCCACAGGUUCUUUAUCCACGUAUCAGAUGGGCUUGAAAGAUAAAGUCUAAAUAGACUGCAUUCAUGAAGCCAAAUGUAUUCCUUAAGAUGUAUCCAGAACUGCCUGUCCUUCACUGGGAGCAGCAAGUCACAAGAAGAACCUGGAGGUGAAAUCAUUCCAGCCCCAAACAAAGAAACCUUUUGUUUGUUAGCAUUUUGGCUGGGCACCAACACAACAGGGGCUCCUCCCGGAGGAUGUCAGGCACGAGCACCUAACCCUUGCCAAGGGUUCUGUUUUCUGGGGAGCCAGGCCCUCCGGCUCCCGGGUCUGCACUGCACUGCU